UUCAUCUUCACCCAACCUUAUCUCCAUUUCACACGCCAUUUUACUUACCCACAAAACCAUCUCCUUGUCUAUUUUCACACGUGAAAGAAAUAGCCAAUAUUUUUAUCCAAAAAUUAAGGAAAAUCGGAUGACUAAAGCAUUACCUCAGGCGUGAUUGAAGCAAAGGAAAAACAACUGUCCGUCAAGCUAAUUGCUCCGACGACAGUUGCGGCUCAAAUUCCGGCCCACCAAGUUUUGUCUCUGCGAAGCGUGGAGCUUCGUGAGGUCUCCGCACAGUUGCCUCCGGGCAUCGUGGAUCUCGACUUCGACUCAGAAUGUAAUCUUUGGUGUAUUGUUCUGUUGGUGUUCCUCCUACUGCCGGCCCUAGGGCAUGAAAAAAAGGUGGAAAAUUUAUAAUAUUGGAAUUGAUCUCUAGCAACAUUGAUCGCAUCUUCCUCUCCUAAUCAAUCAGAAAUAGUGAGAACUCUUGAUAUCUCUCAAUUCGAAAAUCCAGGAUUUGACCUCUUCUUUGUUGUUCCAGUCAAUCUCAAACAAUCCAGGCGAUGAUAGGGCAGGCUCGCCAUUUUUAUUUACCCGGAGUAAGAUCAGUUGAGCAAGUAGGAAUGACAGGGGAUAGCCCAAUUUUUUAUCUCCUAACUGUGUUUCUACUUCUUCUUAUAGUUUAUUCACUUCUCAUUUUGUGUUGAUUUUACUUUUUUACUGCUUCAUAGAUUGUGCACUUCUAAUAAUGUUUGGUGUGCUAGCUAAUGAUUUUCAACAAAUUACAAAUUAAACUUAUAAUGAAUGUUUGGAUGGAACAAGCGAAUCAUGAAGUAAAGUUGUUCGAUGAAAUGCCUCAGUAAAGCAAUAACGUUAUAACAAAUUUUAACAUUGUCUAUUUAGUUUCCAGGUGGAGAGUUCUACAUGGCGUGGCUAGUUAUUGUACUCUGGAUGCAAAAUUUGUCGUGAAUUCUUCCAUGAUGCCAAAGCUACAUUCUUAAAUGAUGGAAUGGUUUUCCGAUAGAGAAACGUCUUGCUGGUUAUUGCGGAGAGUCUGGGGCCACCCUGCUCUCACACUUCAUUCUCCAAUUCACCAAGUUUCCGCAGUCAUUUACUCUAUUCCACGGGUAAAGUUUAUUUCUUAUAUUUUUAUCUAUCAUUUUGAGGGGUUGAGAUUGUGGGUUUUGGUUUUUUUUUGAGAUUUAUUGAAUCGAACACAUUUGUAAACUAAUGCCUCUAUCUUUGUUUGUGAAAAAAAGAAGAAUGUUAUUUUGGGGAUGGAAUUUCACGAAUUGAGAUUUUGUUCAUGCCAAGCAAUUUAUUUCCUUACUUUGCAUCUAUAUAGAAUUUUCAAUUUCCCUGUAUAUUAAUUGAAUAGGUGUAUGCUUAUUAGGAAGAGAUAUGCAAGUAACGUGCAAGGAAUUUGAUAUCUUUUGGUAAAACCAUUGCUUUGUAAAGAGUUCAUCCCCUGCUAAAUCUGUGUGGGUUUAGGGGUUUUCCUUUUAAAAGGCAUGCUAAUGCUUUUGGGUUUUUGACAGUUGGAAUAGUGGUUCUUCACAAGUUCAAUUGAGACUCAUUAGUUUUUGUCUAGCAAAUCAUCCUUUGUGAGACCUUAGCAAAUAUCAAUUUUUAUACUUUGCCACAAAACAUCUUCCUCAAUAAAAGCACUCAACAAGUAUAUUGUUUUCUUAAUUUUGCCUUUGUUCUUAGUUCUUAAUACUAAAUAAAGAGCUCAUGGAGAGUUAAUGAGUUGAGUUUGUGGCCAAAAUUGAUUAAAUAGAACUAAUAUCCAAUCGCAAUCUUUAAUGGUGGAAUAUUGACGUCUCGCUAAAAUAGACUUUCUCAAGAUCUAGCAAGUAGGAAAAGGAAAAGGACAAGAAAUUAGUGUUAGAAUACUCAAUUUCCUAAAUCUUCCAUUUAAACCUUACUUGAUUAUUAGAAGUUUCUUGUCAUCUUCUCAUUAGCCCUAUCAGCCCCAACAACGAAGAGGAAAAGGAAAACAGAACAACAGUUCUAUUGUUUGCUACAUGCUAUGUUCUUGGUUCUAUUUCAUAGCAUUUGAUAGUGCCAUUUUAGUUAAGUUUUACAUGAUGACAUUAGUCACAGAUAUUGUUUCAUCUUCAUUUGAGGCAACCAAAGUUCAAGUAGCAAUUGAAGACGAGCCAUUUUUUGGAUGAAAAUUAUUUUUGAGUGAGAGAAAAAUAUGAAAUUGGAAUUACAUUUUUAAUUUUUUAUCUAUAAACUCUUAUUGUUAUACUUCAAAAAUCUUGUAUCCAGUACUAGUUUCUAUAUUUGAUCUGAAGGUUUUACCAAUAAUAAUAGCUAUGAUUGUAAUUAUUAUUAGCAUAAUGAUGUUGAUAUUCAUAGAUAAGAUCUAAGAUUCUUGUCAUCAAUUGGAAAGUUAAAGAUUUGACCAAUUUUGUGAGUAUUUGUAAUCUCUAUUUCAUCUUCUGGUACAGGUAAUUGAUAUUGUUGUUAUUUUCACUUCUCAUGAUAACAAUCUCAAGCAACACUCUAUUCCAUUUUAGGUAUAGUUCAGAGCUUAAUGUUCUCUAGAUUCAAGCGCCCGGGUAACACUGAUCAAGGAUAAGAAGAAAGAUGGGAAUUUGUUACUGUUUUCUGGCAAUGAAGCAUAAGAAGGAAAUUUGUAGAGACAAUUCAUAUCCUAUCAUUUAUAUUUUUCCAAACAAUUUGACUUGAUGGAGGGUACAUCGUCUAGAAAUGAAUAAGCAGGUGUGGAAUGUGUAAACAAUGGAGAUUUCGUAUUUGAGAAGCCCUUUUUAUAUAAUCCCAAUGUUAAAUCCUUGCCUAUUUAAUUGUAUUCCUAAUAUUUCUAUGGCAAGUUUGGAAGGAAUUGGUUGUUGUUAGAUUGGCUACUUCUUUAAGAAUGCAUAUCCGUUCGACAAUUACCAUACAUAUAUAUUUAACAUUCAGCAACUAACAUGUAACGCACGUUUUCCUCA
Molecule: long non-coding RNA, 2942 nt
Organism: Olea europaea var. sylvestris
Lineage: Eukaryota; Viridiplantae; Streptophyta; Magnoliopsida; Lamiales; Oleaceae
Exons: 4
Source: RefSeq, a predicted model, not a curated record